UGAAUGGUUCAGUGAGGCUUUCGGACUGGCCCAGGGAGGUCGGCAACGACCACCCAGGGCCGGAAAGUUAUCCAAACUCGAUCAUUUAGAGGAAGUAAAAGUCGUAACAAGGUCUCCGUUGGUGAACCAGCGGAGGGAUCAUU
This 143-nucleotide ribosomal RNA is filed under the name Harknessia spermatoidea. Its description in RNAcentral is "partial 18S ribosomal RNA". It matches the Rfam family "Eukaryotic small subunit ribosomal RNA", at positions 1690 to 1830 of the family's 1831-position model. The record is from RNAcentral. Lineage: Eukaryota; Fungi; Ascomycota; Sordariomycetes; Diaporthales; Harknessiaceae.